This is a long non-coding RNA of Pteropus alecto (black flying fox), 882 nucleotides long. RefSeq lists it as uncharacterized. The record is from RefSeq and is a predicted model, not a curated record. The transcript is spliced from 4 exons. Lineage: Eukaryota; Metazoa; Chordata; Mammalia; Chiroptera; Pteropodidae.
CGGCGGCGGCGGCGGCGACGGAGGGAGCCUUGGGGAGGUGGCUCCUUCCUGGAGGGGGCGCCCACUCUCCUGAGAUCGCUCUUGACCUGACCCGAAUCCUUUUCUCUUUUUGCCUCUUAGCCCGGGAAGUGGCACCUCUCUAUUCUACUCCAAGAGGAUGCCCGUCGCUCGAGGCGCCCCAAGCUCCGAGUGGUCGUCACCUUGCACAUUCCUAACCUUACCGAGACCCUGAUCCCAGGGAACCUCAGACCCUUUUACCCAAGAUAUUUUUUCCUUUCAUCCUACUCCAGGAGUUCCCCGUUUAAACUUCCUGAGUUUCUCUCACCCCUAACGCCUUGUCCCAGCACUCCUUAUCCGAGGAGUUCCCUAGUCGCCACCUUCCGGGCCAACCCCUUUCCUCCAACUGCUUCCUCUGAAGGCCUCGCCAUCGCCUCUUAAAUACUUUGUGCUCCUUGAGACCCCGAAUCUUCGCUGGGCAGGGGACGCUCUCUUUUCCUUUGAGUGGCCUAGGGGAGAGGUCUUACACAUAGAUGUGAUCAAAUACGUACUGUAAUAGAAUCUACUUGGCUCAGUACUCAGCUUCCUACCAUCCCAUUUUGCACAUGCCUUCAGAUAUCUGGAGAGCCAAGACCAGUAUUAACCAGCAGAGGGCAACCAACAACUGUUGUCAAGGGAAAGUUCCAAGGUUUACAAAAUGGACGAUCUGGACUGAGAAGGAGAAACGGGCAGAGCCAAUAUCUGAUCCUCUUCAGAACUCCGCUCCAAUGAUUCUUCUGAGAAGCGUUCCCUCCUGUGUCCUGUUAGGUUCUGAAGAUUGGGGUUCACACUGCGGAUUGCACGCAUGUAUGCCUUCAGCAGCUGGAUGUCUCGCUUCUGUUGGAG